Non-coding RNA from Microcebus murinus (gray mouse lemur), 817 nucleotides. Lineage: Eukaryota; Metazoa; Chordata; Mammalia; Primates; Cheirogaleidae. The record is from RefSeq and is a predicted model, not a curated record.
UCCCAUGCUGAGGCCCAGACAGCCCAGAGAGCCUCUCUCAUUAGCAGAAUCUACCUGGAACCGACUGGCACAGAAAGGUGGGAAGUGGGCCUCCAGGAUUUGCCCCCGUGGACAAGGGGAGCAUGUUGAAGGCAGGCACAGAACUGAAUGGGGACACACAACAUCCAGGACACAGAGCUACUGCUAUUAUUAAUCUUUCCAUCAUACAGAAAGAAAAUUAAAGCUCAGGAGGAUCAACCAGCUGUGACUUGUCCGGGGUUUUAUAACAAGUUUGGAAUCUAAACUCAGGUUUUCAAGCCUGAAUCAUAACUGCACUGCAGGAAAACCCACAAGAUGUUGAAAUUUGGGAAUUAGACUAGACUGAUUUUUUUUUAAUAUGCAAAAAGGAGACUUUACAAAUCUCUGAAACUGACUAGAAACGCCAGCUUCCCUGAGACAUCGUCCAACUCUGGCGAAUGGAGAAUUGAAAGCAGGUUUGAAGAUCAUGUGGGUCAAAAAUAAAACUCUUUCCUGAUUAUACCCUCCCGGGUCCAUCCCCUCCCACAAACUGGAAACACAGACAUCAUCACCCCUGAUUCUCUCAAAAUAUGCCGAGGACUCUUACAGAGCGAGCGAGCCGGUGACCUGAAUAAAUGGGGCCCCGAGGAAAGUGCACGACGAUGACUGUAGAGUAAUAAUUAUGACAAUGGGAAGCUAAAACCUGCUAUUUUCAGGAUCUAUUUAAGAUUGUAAUUACUUGGUAAUGGAUGGGUUAUAAGACGAUUUUCGUAAUCAACUUAGGUAGGACAGGGUACAAAUCUUUGGUCUUAAUAUUAUA